CUACGGGAUGCACCAGUGGGGAAUAUUGGACAAUGGGGGAAACCCUGAUCCAGCAAUGCCGCGUGUGUGAAGAAGGCCUGCGGGUUGUAAAGCACUUUCGGUUGGGAGGACUGCUUCUAGCACUAAUAUUGUUGGAAGUUGACGUUACCUUCAGAAGAAGCACCGGAUAACUCCGUGCCAGCAGCCGCGGGAAUACGGAGGGUGCAAGCGUUAAUCGGAAUUACUGGGCGUAAAGCGCGCGUAGGCGGCUAGAUCAGUCGGGUGUGAAAGCCCCGGGCUUAACCUGGGAACUGCAUCCGAUACUGUCUAGCUUGAGUACAGGAGAGGAGAGUGGAAUUCCACAUGUAGCGGUGAAAUGCGUAGAUAUGUGGAGGAACACCAAUGGCGAAGGCAGCUCUCUGGCCUGAUACUGACGCUGAGGUGCGAAAGCGUGGGGAGCAAACAGGAUUAGAUACCCCUGUAGUC
This 465-nucleotide ribosomal RNA is filed under the name uncultured bacterium. RNAcentral describes it as "partial 16S ribosomal RNA". It matches the Rfam family "Bacterial small subunit ribosomal RNA", at positions 339 to 795 of the family's 1533-position model. The record is from RNAcentral.